UGGGGAAUAUUGGACAAUGGGCGCAAGCCUGAUCCAGCAAUGCCGCGUGUGUGAAGAAGGCCUUCGGGUUGUAAAGCACUUUAAGCAGGGAAGAAAAAACCUCGGUCUAACACAUCGAGUCUUGACGGUACCUGAAGAAUAAGCACCGGCUAACUCUGUGCCAGCGGCCGCGGUAAUACAGAGGGUGCUAGCGUUAAUCGGAUUUACGGGCGUAAAGCGUGUGUAGGUGGUUGUUCAAGUCAGUUGUGAAAAUCCCCUGGGGCUUAAACCCUGGGGAACUGCUUUCUGAGACUGAACGACUAGAGUACGGUAGAGGGUGGUGGAAUUUCCGGUGUAGCGGUGAAAUGCGUAGAUAUCGGAAGGAACAUCAAUGGCGAAGGCAGCCACCUGGGCCUGUACUGACACUGAGACACGAAAGCGUGGGGAUCAAACAGGAUUAGAUACCCUGGUAGUCCACGCCGUAAACGAUGAGAACUUGACGUCGGUUUGCUCUGCAAAGUCGGUGUCGUAGCUAACGCGAUAAGUUCUCCGCCUGGGGAGUACGGCCGCAAGGUUGAAAGCUUAAAUGAAUUGACGGGGGUCAUAGCUGUUUCCUG
RNAcentral lists this ribosomal RNA (596 nucleotides) under uncultured bacterium. RNAcentral describes it as "partial 16S ribosomal RNA". It matches the Rfam family "Bacterial small subunit ribosomal RNA", at positions 355 to 941 of the family's 1533-position model. The record is from RNAcentral.